Molecule: long non-coding RNA, 1380 nt
Filed under: Salmo salar (Atlantic salmon)
Lineage: Eukaryota; Metazoa; Chordata; Actinopteri; Salmoniformes; Salmonidae
Description: lncRNA (ENSSSAG00000109580.1)
Source: RNAcentral
GAGAGAAAGGGAGAGCGAGCGAGAGAAAGGGAGAGCGAGCGAGAGCGAGCGAGAGAAAGCGAGAGCGAGCGAGAGAAAGGGAGAGAGAGAAAGAGAGAGAAAGGGAGAGAAAGGGAAAGAGGGAAAGGGAGAGAGGAAGAAAGGGAGAGCGAGCGAGAGAAAGGGAGAGAGAGCGAGAGAAAGGGCGAGAGAAAGGGAGAGGGACAGGGGGAGAGACAGGGCAAGGGGGAAAGGGAGAGGAGAGCGAGGGAAAAGGAGAGGAGAGAGAGAGAAAGGGAGCGAGAGAAAGCGAGCGAGAGCGAGCGAGAGAGAGAAAGGGAGAGCGAGAGAGAGCGAGAGAAAGGGAGAGCGAGAGAGAGCGAGCAAAAGGGAGAGAGAGCGAGCGAGAGAAAGGGAGAGAGCGAGAGAAAGGGAGAACGAGAGAGGGAAAGGGAGAACGAGAGAGGGAAAGGCGAGAGGAGAAAGAGGGAAAGGGGGAGAGAGAGAAAGAGAGCGAGGGCGAGAGAAAGUAGAGAGAGGAGAGGGAAAGGGGGAGAGAGAGAAAAGAGCGGGAGAGAGGGGAUGGGGAGAGGGGAAGAAGAUCGAGGGGAAGGGAGAGAGCGAGAGAAAGGGAAAGAGGGAAAGGGAGAGAGAAGGAGUGAGAAAAAAGUGAGAGAGGAAAAGGAGAGAUCGAGGGAAAGGGGGAGAGAGGGAGACCGAGAGAGGGAGAGAGAUAGGGCGAGGGAGAGCGAGAGGGAAAGGGAGAGAGAAAAUGAGGGGGAGAUAAAGAAAAAUAGAGAGCAAGAGAAAGGGAAAGGCAGAGAGAAGAGGGAGAGAGGGAAAAGGAGAGAGAAAAAAAGGGAGAGAGCGAGAGUGAGCGAGGGAAAAGGAGGGGGAGAGAAAGAAAAAUAGAGAGCAAGAGAAAGGGAAAGGCAGAGAGAGGAGAGGGAGAGAGGGAAAAGGAGAGAGAGAAAGAAAAAAGGGAGAGGGAAAGUUAAACAGUUGUUGCAGAGAAAAAUAUGACAGAGAGGGAGAGAGAUGUCUUUGGAUUGGCUGACAGUGUCAGUGAUAAAGCCAAUGGAUGCAAUAGCGCUAUGUGGCCACCAGAUGGAUGUUAAUUUUGUUCCAAUACCUCCAUCUGGUAGACACAUAGCGCUAUUGCAUCCAUUGGAAAGGGAGAGGGGGAGAGCGCGAGAGAAAAGGAGAGAGCAAGAGAAAGGGAGAGCGAGAAAAAUUGAUGGACAAAGAGAAAGGGAGAGAGAGGGAGAGAGCGAGAGAAAGGAAGAGAGCAAGAAAAAUUGAUGGACAAAAAAAUAGAGAAAGGGAGAGGAGAGCGAGGGAAAAGGAGGAGAGAGAGAGAGAAAGGGAGAGCGAGCGAGAGAAAGGGAGAGCGAGCGAGAG